Molecule: ribosomal RNA, 52 nt
Filed under: salal root associated fungus UBCtra1016C
Lineage: Eukaryota; Fungi; Ascomycota
Description: partial 28S ribosomal RNA
Source: RNAcentral
UUGACCUCGGAUCAAGUAGGGAUACCCGCUGAACUUAAGCAUAUCAAUAAGC